GUCGAGUCUUUAGUCUGCGCGCGACACUUGCCCGAGUUACGUCGCGUCACUCCGCGUCCUCCGCGAGAAAAAAAGCGCGAGCGACCACGAGGGGAACACGUCUCGCCGUUCAGCAGCCAACUCUCCCAACUGUGAAUCAAGCAAGAACUCGUGAAACUUUCAAGACUCUCAAGAGAUUCCAUAAAAACCUAGAAAACAAGUGGCACUUCGUUUUAAAGUUCCAUUGUAACUGGUGAAGAAACCUGCGGGAAGAAUAGUUUUCCAGUCCCUUUGACGAUUGUGGAUGCCUCAUAAAAAAUUGAAAAGUGUUGAAAGUUCUAUACCUCAUUUAUAGUGUUUUGUUGAAUUAUUCUUGUGGACUGAAGGGAUGCAAGUAGAAAUAGUCAGUAUUUGUCGGACAGAGUGAAGGGUAGAAAAAUUUGAAGGAUGUUUUCGAAUAAAAAUGCAAAUCGAUUAUUAAAUAAAUUUAGCAACUGUGAGACGGUGGACUAGUGGAUUUUUAAUGGUUGAUGUGGUUUCAUUGAGUGAAUACUUGGUUGCCGGGGAAGGGGAGCUGAAAGGGAAGAGGUCUAAUUGAUGACGGCUCUUUGUACUUGUGAUUUUCCUUGUUCACAAAGCGUUCGAACACCCAUUCCAAUGAUUCGAAUCUACCUCUCGUCGAAAGAGUACUCACACUCGGUUUCAAUAUGAUUUGGCGAGCUGCGAUCUUCAACUCGCACGAGACUCGUCAAAAGCAGUUCGGAAUAGAAAGAAACGAUCCGAAGUGGUUCCAUCAGUCGUUCAGAAAAUUGCUGCAAUUUUCUACCAUCGCCAGCUCGAAACAUCUGGUGAUGAGGGAGGAGAGCGCCAGCCGGCCGGAUCCUCUUAGAUUGAUCAACGGUGCUGAUAGAGGCAGAGAAAAGAUCGUCGUGAAAGCGGCCUGAAGAGGAGGGUGGAGAAUGAGAAUCGUGUCAAGAUCGAGCGUCGAGUGAAGAGGGGGAGUAUGGAGUAGCGGUGUACUGUUCCAGUGGCCCGGAUUUCUCAGGCCUUUAACAGGAGACCAUGGAUAAAUACGGAGUCGAACUGCCUAAGCACGAGUGGAGCCACAGGCUCAGCCUUCGUGCCAGUCGAAGAAGUC
Long non-coding RNA from Ceratina calcarata, 1117 nucleotides. RefSeq lists it as uncharacterized. NCBI's taxonomy places the organism in Eukaryota, Metazoa, Arthropoda, Insecta, Hymenoptera, Apidae. The record is from RefSeq and is a predicted model, not a curated record. The transcript is spliced from 3 exons.